UGGUGGAGUGAUUUGUCUGGUUAAUUCCGAUAACGAACGAGACCUCCGCCUGCUAAAUAGCGCGGCUUGGCUUUGCCAGGUCAGCGCUUCUUAGAGGGACUGUGGGUGUUUAGCCCACGGAAGUUGGAGGCAAUAACA
RNAcentral lists this ribosomal RNA (138 nucleotides) under uncultured eukaryote. RNAcentral's name for it is "partial 18S ribosomal RNA". It matches the Rfam family "Eukaryotic small subunit ribosomal RNA", at positions 1299 to 1458 of the family's 1831-position model. The record is from RNAcentral.